GAAAAAGAUAAGAAUUUUCAAUGCACAUGGCGCAAAUCGUGUAACGAGAAAAAUAUGUAUCGCUCGUUUCCUACACAGGUGCAAAUCAUUCUACCAUGUCGACCAACAUAAAAGAAAGAAUAGAGAGAACAACAUAUCAAAAACUAAUGUCAGAAUAAGGAUUUCACAAAAUUCAGUGUGAAAACGCGAUUCAUUGACUCUAUCGAGCUAGAUAACUCACGAUGAUGACGGGCCCGCGUAAAAUAUAUUAUCAUUGCCUAUAACGCCACCUACAAAAAUUUAAGGAAAUAAAUUAAAAUAUCAAAAUACAAAGGAAGGAAAUCGUUGUAUAUACAUUAUGUAUAUGCUGGAUUUUGUUCGUAUUAUAUAUGAAAAGAAUGUGAAGAUUUUUCCAUUGUUCAAAUCAGACUAAAUAUUAUAUUAAUAUAAAAAGUAAAACGUCUCUAUAAAACAAAGUUUAUAUUAUUUAUUUAAUACACAUAAAAUCUGAAAUAUUCUUUUCAUCAUUUACGUACAACAACGUUCGCUAUAAAUUACAAUAUAUAAAAUAUAUAUCCUAUAUAACUAGGAAAGUAACAGUUGUAUUGUAAAAACACCAUAAAUAUGUAUUAACUACAUUUAAAAACACAUUAAGAAUACCACUAAAAUAAACAUCAAGAAUCAGAUAUUUUACAUCAAU
This is a long non-coding RNA of Apis florea (little honeybee), 679 nucleotides long. The record is from RefSeq and is a predicted model, not a curated record. Lineage: Eukaryota; Metazoa; Arthropoda; Insecta; Hymenoptera; Apidae.